This 710-nucleotide ribosomal RNA is filed under the name uncultured bacterium. RNAcentral's name for it is "bacterial SSU rRNA". It matches the Rfam family "Bacterial small subunit ribosomal RNA", at positions 13 to 733 of the family's 1533-position model. The record is from RNAcentral.
UUGAUCAUGGCUCAGGACGAACGCUGGCGGCGUGCUUAACACAUGCAAGUCGAGCGGUAAGGCCCUUUCGGGGGUACACGAGCGGCGAACGGGUGAGUAACACGUGGGUAACCUGCCCUCAGCUCUGGGAUAAGCCCGGGAAACUGGGUCUAAUACCGGAUAUGACUCCGCAUCGCAUGGUGUGGGGUGGAAAGCCUUGUGCGGCUGAGGAUGGGCCCGCGGCCUAUCAGCUUGUUGGUGGGGUAGUGGCCUACCAAGGCGACGACGGGUAGCCGGCCUGAGAGGGCGACCGGCCACACUGGGACUGAGACACGGCCCAGACUCCUACGGGAGGCAGCAGUGGGGAAUAUUGCGCAAUGGGCGAAAGCCUGACGCAGCGACGCCGCGUGAGGGAUGACGGCCUUCGGGUUGUAAACCUCUUUCAGCUCCGACGAAGCCUUCGGGUGACGGUAGGGGCAGAAGAAGCACCGGCCAACUACGUGCCAGCAGCCGCGGUAAUACGUAGGGUGCAAGCGUUGUCCGGAAUUAUUGGGCGUAAAGAGCUCGUAGGCGGUUUGUCGCGUCGACUGUGAAAACUCAGGGGCUCAACUCCGAGCUUGCAGUUGAUACGGGCAGACUAGAGUUCGGCAGGGGAGACUGGCAAUUCCUGGUGUAGCGGUGAAAUGCGCAGAUAUCAGGAGGAACACCGGUGGCGAAGGCGGGUCUCUGGG